RNAcentral lists this long non-coding RNA (3962 nucleotides) under Citrus maxima (pomelo). Its description in RNAcentral is "long non-coding RNA (CMAX_LNC004084)". The record is from RNAcentral. Lineage: Eukaryota; Viridiplantae; Streptophyta; Magnoliopsida; Sapindales; Rutaceae.
AUAAUAGAAAAUUAUAAUAUCAUUUUAUGUAAUAGAAAAAAGAAUAAAAUAAUCAAUUAACACUAUAAAAUUAUACAGUAAUAUAGAUCAUUCGGUCUUGACCGUUAAGUAUCUUUAGCAAUUUAAACGUCUUGGCGAAAAGCAAUCUCUCUUAUUGCUGCCCGCAGCUCUCUUAAUUCCCCUAAAACCUAAUGGAUCACCCUUGCGACUUCUUUGUAGGUUGUCUUGGCUUCUGCUUUUUGUUCAUCGACUUCAUCGUCUUCUGUCUUUUUUUCUGGCGGCAAAACAUGCCAAAAAUCUCUAUACAACCGUUACUUGUAUCGGAUCUCCUUCUACCUGCGCUGUCUUUGCCGGCAGGGGCGGAGACAGCAUGUUGAUUGACUGGGGGCUUACCCAACGACGAUAAAAAAAUUUAAAGAGUAAUAAAUAUAUAAAUUUGAAAGAUUUAUCAUACUUCAAUAUAUGUUUACAAUUGUCCUUUACGAGUUUUCAUACAUUGAUAACGUUGCAUUACAACUUCAUUAUCAAUAUUAUUAAAUAAGUCUUUUUCUAUGUAAACAACUAAACUAUCAUUCAUCCAUUGCUCUCCCAUUCGGUUUCGUAACCGAUUCUUCAAAAUGUUCAUGGCUGAAAAUGCUCUCUCUACACUCGCAGUGGCAACAGGUAAAGUCAAUGCCAAUGUUAUUAACAAGUAAACUAAUGGAUAUACAUUAUGUCUCUUAGUCUCGACCAUCCGCUUUGCAAGAUCACCAAUAUCCUUUAAUUCUGAAAACUCACCACUAGUGCGCAUAUCCAAAAUAUAUGUAUCAAGUUGAAUCUCAAGUGCCAUGAUAUCAAUUGUAGAGAACUCAUUUGGAUACAACUGGGCUAGCCGUAAUAGCUUCUGCUUGUUGAAAGCUGAAAAUAAAUCAUUUGGAGAUAAACAUGCUAGGCAAAGAAGCAACUCAGUGUUUGUCUCAUUAAAACGAGAAUUAAGCUCUUGAAGUUGCAUAUCUAAGACUGCAUAAUACAAUUCAACACGAUAACGAUGCAAAUUUGUGAUCUCUUGAGCUUUACGUCGUGAUCGCCCUCUAUCCACAAACAUAUCAUCCAUAUUAGGCACGUCAAUAUCAUGCUUCGCACAAAAAAAAGUAACUUCAUCAAUCAAAGAAUUCCAUCCACUUUGUCUCAUUGUUUGAAGUUGUAGUUUACAUAACCUAACCAAGUUCAUAGCAUUCACAAUAUCUUGAUCUUUCCUCUGUAAUGCUUGUGAUAACUCAUCUGUAGCCCCUAAAAUAUUCCUCAUCAAAUGUAAACAGAACACAAAAUUAAAUGACAACAUCAACUCUAGUAAAUUCUUUGCUUCUCCUCUUUGCCCAGAUUUUGGUCCAUCAUUAAUAAUCAUUUCCAAUACACUAAUUACUGCUGAAAACAUGUUAAUAAUGCUCAAUAAUGUAGUAUAAUGUGAACCCCAACGUGUAUCACCACAACGUUUUAGAGUAGUCUCUUGGUUUAGGCCUUGCCCACUCGAGAGAUCUCCAAGAUUAAGUGCUUUAACAACUUCCUCAGCAUGUUUCUCUCUAAGAGCAUCACAACGUUUAGACGAGGCUCCAACAACAUUCACCACAUUGGCAAUUAUAGCAAAAAAAGAUUCAAUUUGAAUAUGAUUUUUUGCAACAACAAUAAGAGCUAACUGAAGUUGAUGAGCAAAACAAUGAAUGUAAUAAGCACACUCAUUCUCUCUCAAAAUUAUGGUUUUAAGGCCAUUAAAUUCUCCUUGCAUAUUACUUGCUCCAUCAUAACCUUGCCCUCGCACCCUAGACAUACUCAACCCAUGUCUAGAAAAAAGUCUAUCAAUAGCUUCCUUAAGUGAUUGAGCAGUAGUACUACCAACUUGUUCAAUGCCUAUAAAACGUUCAACCACUUGUCCACUAAUGUUUACAUAUCGUAAGACAAUAGCCAUUUGCUCUUUUAUUGAUACGUCGCGAGAUUCAUCAACCAAAAUAGAAAAAAAUGCAUCACCCAUCUCUCUUAUAAUGGCAUUAGUGGUCUCAAUUGCACAAGCACUAACAAUGUCUUUUUGAGUGUCAGGACAUGUCACUUUCAAAAAUGAUGGGGCAUUUUCUAAUGUAACAGCUUUUAUAUCCUCAUUAUGAUCAACCAAAAAUUUGAGAAGUUCUAGAAAGUUACCUCGGUUACUUGACUCUUCAGAUUCAUCAUGGCCGCGAAAUGCAAGUCCUUGUCGUAAAAGAAAUCUGACACAAUCAAUCGAUGCUUGUAAGCGAGCUCGAUAUUCACUUCUAGUUUGAUUAGAAUGUCUAGAAUACAUUGUCUGAAUAUGUUGCUCUUGCUUCAUUAAAUCUUGACAAGAACGCCAAGCAUCAUUGUGGACACUAUUAGAGCAACCAACAUGAACUCUCAAUCUUUCUGGUUUUUUCCAAUUUGUAAACCCAUGUUUAGUAAAAGAUUCACCACCGGCUUGUUCUCCAAUUUCUGGCUUGAAAAGAUAACAACAAAGACAAAAUGCAGCAUCCUUUGCAAUGCUAUACUCUAACCAAUUUCCAUAUUUAUCAAACCAACUUGAAUUGAAUCUCCGAGAUUGUUUUCCAAAAUGCCUAAGAGGAAAAUUGUGAGUUUUUGGUUGACAAGGGCCAUUUUGCAAAUAUUGUCUUCGAACUUGAUCUUGAAUAUUUACAUUGUAGUAAGAAAUUGGAUGUCGUAAUCCAGGAUCCAUAGGAAGAUUCAAUAAAUUCACCUCCACAUCAUUUUCUCUCAUAGUUCCAACAUCAUCAUUCUUUUGUUUUUUACCACAAUCAUCAUCUCUCUUUGAACCACUCUUGUCUUUUUGUUUUGAAGCAUCAUCAUUUUUUUCUAAAAAUUGUGGCUCCUUUCUUUUGUAAAACCUUUCCAUACCUAUUUCAAAAUAUAAAUAAAGAUUAUGAAUAUUGAGUAGUUUACUUAGGCUAGUAGCACUUUUAGCAUAUUCCCCUAUUAUAUAAUUAUAUUAAUGCUAUAAAUUAAUUAACAAACAUUACAAGACAUUAAAGCUAAACAAGCAAAUGCUUAAUUGCAAUUGUUAUUUUCUUAAUUAAUAAUAUGUGUUCUUUUUUAUGGAAUCUACACUCAAUCACAUAAUUCACAUUAUAUUUUUCAAAUACAUCAAUAGCCCGAUGAUACACUAACUAAUGGGGAAGAAAAACAACUACAUCAAUUCAACAAAUAAUUAUAUAUGAUUUAUAAACAAUAAAAUAAAAAGCAAAUAAAAUAUUAAUUUGUACCUUAAUUUUAUUGAAUGAAGAAACGAGGGGUUGUUUGAAAUUUGGAGGAGAAAUCACUUUCCACUUUGCUUUUGGAGAUGCCGAAACAAGAAGAAGAUGAUUUACGCAAAUUCCAAUGUCUGUCACUGCUGUUUUGCUUUUGGAGAUGCCGAAACAAGAAGAUGAUUUAGGGAUUUCAGAUUUGCGUAUUGGUGUAGGCAGUGGAAUUGGAGAAAGGUAAAGAAUAAUAAAAUAUUAUUAAUGGGUUUGUGGGUUAUUUAAAAAUUUGAUUAAUAUUAAUAUUUGUGGGCUUAAUUUUAGUUUGUAAAGUCCAUAUCUUUUUAUUUGUUUUAAAAAAUUAAAGUAUGUAAUUAUGUUUAUGUGUUAGGGGUUUAAAUAUAAAUUAGUGGGGGCUUAGGAAAAAAUUUAUUAGAAAUUUUUGAUAAAUUAAAUUAGUUAAUAAAGGAUUUUUUUUUUCCGUGGGGACUUAAGUCCUCACUGGUCCCAAGCUGGAUCCGCCACUGUUUGCCGGGGCUUAUGAUCAGUUUGUGUAGGAGGAGGAAUUGUCUCCUAAUCCUUUAUAGUGACGUUCUUUUUAAUUCUCUGUCUAGCCACCAUCUCCGUUUUUGUGGUUGUUGUUACAUCUAACGGCGCCGGCGAAGCUGUACCCGGAUUAGGGUCUAAGGAGCAUCAGCUGGGAGAUUAUAGCAAUUGACUUAAAAAUCG